GCCAGGUGCAGUGGCACAUACCUGUAGUCCCAGCUACUUGGGAGGUUGAGUGGAGAGGAUUGGUUGAGCCCAGGAGUUCUGAGUUGUACUGUGCUAUGCUGAUAGAGUUUCCGCACUAAGGUUGGCGUCAAUAUGGUGACCCCCCAGGGGCAGAGGACCACUGGGUUGCCUAAGGAGGGGUGAACCAGCUCAAGCCGGAAAUGGAGCAGGUCAUAGCUCCCAUACUGAUCACCAGUGGGAUCACACCUGUGAAUAACCAGGCAACAGGCUGGAAAACAUAGCCAGACCCUGUCUCU
RNAcentral lists this signal recognition particle RNA (296 nucleotides) under Carlito syrichta (Philippine tarsier). RNAcentral's name for it is "Metazoan signal recognition particle RNA (ENSTSYG00000030504.1)". It matches the Rfam family "Metazoan signal recognition particle RNA". From Rfam's summary of the family: The signal recognition particle (SRP) is a universally conserved ribonucleoprotein. The record is from RNAcentral. Lineage: Eukaryota; Metazoa; Chordata; Mammalia; Primates; Tarsiidae.